UACGUAGGGGGCUAGCGUUGUCCGGAAUCAUUGGGCGUAAAGGGCGCGUAGGCGGCCCGCUAAGUCGAACGUGAAAUCCCCGAGCUCAACUCGGGAACUGCGUCCGAUACUGGCGGGCUUGAAUCCGGGAGAGGGAUGCGGAAUUCCAGGUGUAGCGGUGAAAUGCGUAGAUAUCUGGAGGAACACCGGUGGCGAAGGCGGCAUCCUGGACCGGCAUUGACGCUGAGGCGCGAAAGCUAGGGGAGCAAACGGG
RNAcentral lists this ribosomal RNA (253 nucleotides) under uncultured bacterium. RNAcentral describes it as "partial 16S ribosomal RNA". It matches the Rfam family "Bacterial small subunit ribosomal RNA", at positions 524 to 776 of the family's 1533-position model. The record is from RNAcentral.